GACGAACGCUGGCGGCGUGCUUAACACAUGCAAGUCGAGCGGUAAGGCCCUUUCGGGGGUACACGAGCGGCGAACGGGUGAGUAACACGUGGGUGACCUGCCCUCAGCUCUGGGAUAAGCCUGGGAAACCGGGUCUAAUACUGGAUAUGACUCCAUGACGCAUGUUGUGGGGUGGAAAGCCUUGUGCGGCUGAGGAUGGGCCCGCGGCCUAUCAGCUUGUUGGUGGGGUGANGGCCUACCAAGGCGACGACGGGUAGCCGGCCUGAGAGGGCGACCGGCCACACUGGGACUGAGACACGGCCCAGACUCCUACGGGAGGCAGCAGUGGGGAAUCAUGCGCAAUGGGCGAAAGCCUGACGCAGCGACGCCGCGUGAGGGAUGACGGCCU
RNAcentral lists this ribosomal RNA (388 nucleotides) under uncultured bacterium. RNAcentral's name for it is "bacterial SSU rRNA". It matches the Rfam family "Bacterial small subunit ribosomal RNA", at positions 28 to 417 of the family's 1533-position model. The record is from RNAcentral.